GACGUAGGGCGCGAGCGUUGUCCGGAUUUAUUGGGCGUAAAGAGCUCGUAGGCGGCUUGUUGCGUCGACUGUGAAAACUCACGGCUUAACCGUGGAACUGCAGUCGAUACGGGCAGGCUAGAGUUCGGUAGGGGAGACUGGAAUUCCUGGUGUAGCGGUGAAAUGCGCAGAUAUCAGGAGGAACACCAAUGGCGAAGGCAGCACUCUGGGACGGUACUGACGCUGAGACGCGAAAGCGUGGGGAGCAAACAGG
Molecule: ribosomal RNA, 253 nt
Filed under: uncultured bacterium
Lineage: Bacteria
Description: partial 16S ribosomal RNA
Rfam family: Bacterial small subunit ribosomal RNA
Source: RNAcentral